AUUUGAGAGUUUGAUCCUGGCUCAGGACGAACGCUGGCGGCGUGCCUAACACAUGCAAGUCGAACGAGUUACUUAAGCUUGCUUAAGUAAUUAGUGGCGGACGGGUGAGUAACGCGUGGGCAAUCUGCCCUGUGGAAAGGGAUAGCCUCGGGAAACCGGGAUUAAUACCUUAUGAAGUUAUUUUUACGCAUGUAGAGAUAAUGAAAGAUUUAUCGCCACAGGAUGAGCCCGCGUCCCAUUAGCUAGUUGGUGAGAUAAUAGCCCACCAAGGCGACGAUGGGUAGCCGACCUGAGAGGGUGAACGGCCACACUGGGACUGAGACACGGCCCAGACUCCUACGGGAGGCAGCAGUGGGGAAUAUUGCGCAAUGGGGGCAACCCUGACGCAGCAACGCCGCGUGAGUGAAGAAGGUUUUCGGAUUGUAAAACUCUGUCUUUGGGGAAGAAAAAAAUGACGGUACCCAAGGAGGAAGCCCCGGCUAACUACGUGCCAGCAGCCGCGGUAAUACGUAGGGGGCAAGCGUUGUCCGGAAUUAUUGGGCGUAAAGGGCGUGUAGGCGGUAGGAUAAGUCAGAUGUGAAAGUUCGGGGCUCAACCCCGGAAUUGCAUUUGAAACUGUACUACUUGAGUACUGGAGAGGUAAGUGGAAUUCCUAGUGUAGCGGUGAAAUGCGUAGAUAUUAGGAGGAACACCAGUGGCGAAGGCGACUUACUGGACAGUUACUGACGCUGAGGCGCGAAAGCGUGGGGAGCAAACAGGAUUAGAUACCCUGGUAGUCCACGCCGUAAACGAUGAGUGCUAGGUGUUGGGGAGACUCAGUGCCGCAGUUAACACAAUAAGCACUCCGCCUGGGGAGUACGGUCGCAAGACUGAAACUCAAAGGAAUUGACGGGGGCCCGCACAAGCAGCGGAGCAUGUGGUUUAAUUCGAAGCAACGCGAAGAACCUUACCAGGUCUUGACAUCCUUUGACAAUCCAAGAGAUUGGACGUUCCCUUCGGGGACAAAGAGACAGGUGGUGCAUGGUUGUCGUCAGCUCGUGUCGUGAGAUGUUGGGUUAAGUCCCGCAACGAGCGCAACCCUUGUAUUUAGUUGCCAUCAGGUUAAGCUGGGCACUCUAGAUAGACUGCCGUAGACAAUACGGAGGAAGGUGGGGAUGACGUCAAAUCAUCAUGCCCCUUAUGACCUGGGCUACACACGUGCUACAAUGGCCUGAACAACGGGUUGCGAAAUGGCAACAUGGAGCUAAUCCCACAAAUCAGGUCUCAGUUCGGAUUGCAGGCUGCAACUCGCCUGCAUGAAGUUGGAGUUGCUAGUAAUCGCGGAUCAGAAUGUCGCGGUGAAUGCGUUCCCGGGCCUUGUACACACCGCCCGUCACACCACGAAAGUUGGCAACACCCGAAGUCAGUGAGCCAACCAGUUUACUGGGAGCAGCUGCCGAAGGUGGGGUUAAUAAUUGGGGUGAAGUCGUAACAAGGUAGCCGUAUCGGAAGGUGCGGCUGGAUCACCUCCUUUCU
Molecule: ribosomal RNA, 1515 nt
Filed under: Alkalibaculum sporogenes
Lineage: Bacteria; Bacillati; Bacillota; Clostridia; Eubacteriales; Eubacteriaceae
Description: bacterial SSU rRNA
Rfam family: Bacterial small subunit ribosomal RNA
Source: RNAcentral